RNAcentral lists this ribosomal RNA (449 nucleotides) under uncultured bacterium. RNAcentral describes it as "bacterial SSU rRNA". It matches the Rfam family "Bacterial small subunit ribosomal RNA", at positions 355 to 796 of the family's 1533-position model. The record is from RNAcentral.
UGGGGAAUUUUGGACAAUGGGCGCAAGCCUGAUCCAGCCAUGCCGCGUGAGUGAAGAAGGCCUUCGGGUUGUAAAGCUCUUUCGGCUGGGACGAAAAGGUCCGUGUUAACACCACGGAUCCAUGACGGUACCAGCAGAAGAAGCACCGGCUAACUACGUGCCAGCAGCCGCGGUAAUACGUAGGGUGCAGGCGUUAAUCGGAAUUACUGGGCGUAAAGCGUGCGCAGGCGGUUUGCUAAGACAGGUGUGAAAUCCCCGGGCUUAACCUGGGAACUGCGCUUGUAACUGGCAAGCUUGAGUGUGGCAGAGGGGGGUGGAAUUCCACGUGUAGCAGUGAAAUGCGUAGAGAUGUGGAGGAACACCGAUGGCGAAGGCAGCCCCCUGGGCUAACACUGACGCUCAUGCACGAAAGCGUGGGGAGCAAACAGGAUUAGAUACCCCCGUAGUCC